This is a non-coding RNA of Pelodiscus sinensis (Chinese soft-shelled turtle), 3422 nucleotides long. The record is from RefSeq and is a predicted model, not a curated record. NCBI's taxonomy places the organism in Eukaryota, Metazoa, Chordata, Testudines, Trionychidae.
CUCGCUCGCGGAGUCGGCGCCGGUGUUCGCCGCCGCUGUGGAUAACGGUCGCGCGCUCGGGUUUCUCAUCCCCCCCCCCCCCUCUCUGGCGGCCUUCUUUCUCCGCGGCGGGGGCUGGCUCCUGGGGGGGCGGAGGGCUCCCCCUCCCCUCGCGUAGGGCGGGCGCGUGGCGGCCGGUGGAUGCGCCGGAGGGAAGCGCUGCCGGAGAGGAUUUACUGCGCCCGGUACCGCCGCGCGCCGCUGCCCCUUGCCCUGCGUGCGGCUCCGCGGAGCGCGGCGAGCGGCCAUGGACGAGAAGUCCCUGCCCGAGCUGAUGGCGGAGAAGGACUCCCUGGCCCCGUCCUUCACCCACGCGCUGCGGCUGGGGAACCAAGAAAUUGAGAAAUUUCAAAAAGGGGAAGGAAAGGAAGAAGAAAAGUAUAUUGAUGUAGUGAUAAACAAAAAUAUGAAGCUGGGGCAGAAAGUAUUAAUUCCAGUAAAACAAUUUCCUAAGUUCAACUUUGUGGGAAAACUUUUGGGUCCACGUGGAAAUUCACUGAAACGUUUACAGGAGGAAACAUUGACAAAAAUGUCUAUAUUGGGAAAAGGUUCCAUGAGGGACAAAGCCAAGGAAGAAGAGUUGAGAAAAAGUGGGGAAGCAAAAUACUUCCACUUAAAUGACGACUUGCAUGUUCUAAUUGAAGUGUUUGCCCCACCAGCGGAGGCGUAUGCCAGAAUGGGACAUGCUUUGGAAGAAAUCAAGAAGUUCCUCAUCCCUGACUACAAUGAUGAAAUCAGACAGGCACAGCUCCAAGAAUUAACAUAUCUGAAUGGUGGCUCAGAAAAUGCAGACGUUCCAGUUGUUCGCGGAAAACCACCAAUUCGAGCACGAGGCGUACCAGUCCCUGCUUUGGCCAGGGGCCGUGGAGGAGUACCACCCCCACCAGCAGGUGUACCAAGAGGAGCACCAGCUCCCAGGGGAGUACCUCUCAGUAGAGGUACUGUCAGUCGUGGUCGUGGACUCCUAGCCCCUCGAUCAAGAGGAGUAGUACCUCCACCUGCAGGCUACCGGCCUUUGCCACCACCCCCAGCACAAGAAACGUAUGGAGAAUAUGACUAUGAUGAUGGAUAUGGUACUGCUUAUGAUGAGCAGGGUUAUGACUCCUAUGAUAACAGCUAUACCACCCAGGCACAAAGUGGAGCAGAUUACUAUGAUUAUGGACAUGGGCUUAGUGAGGAGACAUACGAUUCUUACGGUCAAGAGGAAUGGACCAACUCAAGGCACAAGGCACCUUCUGCAAGGACAACAAAGGGAGUCUACAGAGACCAGCCAUAUGCCAGAUACUGAUUGUACUGUCUGAUGUUGUGAAAUAUCCAAUCUUCACCAUCCUGUAUACUGUCCCAAGUAAUUUUUUUCUAUAAACAAUCCCUUUUUAGUCAAUCAAAGUGCUUAAAAAUUGAACGGAUGGACUGAACUUAAAUAUUCUACUGAAAGAACAAUCUGGACAGAAAGUUAUGUAAAACAAGGAACUUUGUUAUUUCCAAACUGUAUUUGAAAAAUAGGUGAUCAAAAACAAAUAACCUCUGAUUAACUAGUGUUAAACAAAAACUAGGUUUACUAAAAAUGUUAAUCCAUUCUUUUAACAUAAGCAUAACCUUUUAUUUUAAAGGUUUUCAGCAAUUUAGUUUUUAGUUUUAUUUUUCAACCAUUUUGCUAGUUUUUUUUUCUCUUGCAAAUAUGCGUAAAAAGGGAAGCAAAUUACAAAUGCAAAUAAUGUGGUAUUUUGUAACUCAAGUCUUGAAAUGUUCUGUAGUGUUAAGCAAAGUUUACUCUUGCUUGAUACUAAAUAAACUUUUGAAAGAAAAUCAGUGUGUCUGAGAGUAAUUUUAUGUUAUAGUUUAUUUUAGAAUAAACCUUCAUAAAUAGUAGUAAACAGGGAGAAAUUCAUCUAACAAUGAUCAAUAUAAAAGGCUCAUACUAAACACUGUACAGCUUUUUUUAAAAAAUGGUAUAAACCUAAAUGUACAUUUAUAUACUCACAAUAGAUUUAAAUGCUGUUUAAAGUAUCCAAAUGGUAUGGAUCUGCUUGAAUGCCACAUUUAAAAAAAUAAGCUUGGUUAAAAAUGGUUUAAAAUAGCUAAUGAAUUUUCUGAAAAAGAUGUGACUAGUUUUCAUCUUGUUGAGCAUUUUUUCACUAGUGCAACUUUGGAAUUUUUAUGAGAAUUUUGGUACCUUAAUGACUACCUCGCUCCGUGCUGGAAGCAAUAAACACAAAGCUUUUAAAGACUUUCUGACUUGACUAAUUGAGGUCGCUUUCGUCAGAGGCAGAGGAUGUGUAACCCUUAAAACGGUCAUCAUUUGCAAAGGAAACACUACACGUCUUGGGAGCCAACAGAACAGAAACCUAAAUCUGUUGAUGCUUUGGGACUUCUGUUGUGAUUCUUAUGGACUGCUGAGACUGUUAUAUUCACCAAUGUGCCUAGUGAACGAUGAGAUUCAACUUUGGAAUGUGAAAAGGCAGUUCUGUUUCUCUUCUACUGUUUUACAUACUGUAGAAAUAAAGUGUCUCCUAUUAUAUCCUUUAUUUUUAACAGCUGCUAUAAAAGCCCUUAAUUGUUUAAUGACUUAACAAUGUUAUUUAUGUAGAAGUCAAUAAAGAAUCUCCAUUUAAAUCUCCAGUACAAAGCAAUAAUGCAUCCUUAUGUUCCUUCAGUGACUUUGUAAUUCCUACACAGCAGCUAUACACAAACCUUGUGUGGAAUCUUAUGACUAGAGACCCACAGUUCACUUGUGGAAGUGGUUUAUCUAUUGUAUGUGCAGCAUGGUCAAGUAAAGAUGAAAACAAGUGUGUUACACAGAAGCUAUUGUAUUACUCAUAGGCUAACAGUAAACAGAUAUGCCUGGAGCAAGGUUGAUUAAUAAAAAGAGAAUAAACCUAAUUUCAGAUUCCUUCAGUAAUGUGUACAGAACAUGAAGGUCAUAAUCACUGUGGACUGUAAAAUAAUGUUCAUCAUUUUUCACUUACUUCAUGUGAUUAUAAUUUUACAUCUCCAGAAGUAUAUUCUCUACUCUUACAAGAUCACAUGUUUUCCAGUAAAAGAAAUUUCCAGCUAGUUUUAAUGCCUUGAUAAAUAUGCACUCUUGUACCUGGUAGACCUGUUUCCUCAAUGCUUUCUCAGUUUUAUAUUAGUCUUGAUUUGUGAUAAUUUGUAACACAAAUAAACUUCUGGUAAUUUAACCUUUUCUUACUGCAUAGCUGAUUGCAAAUCCAACUGCUUUCUUUCCAUGCUUCAGAAAUUUACUUUCAACAGAUACAUUUUUGUUUCUUGUAGCUAUUGAAAACUUACCAAGUUCAUGCACUGGGCAUGCUAGAUAAUCAGUUUCCAUAUUCUGACCAGACUUUUUUCUGUUUUGCUGAGCAUAUAUUUUCAAGUCAAAUUAU